GGAGGUUAGCUGUGUUCCAAUUUCCAUGCUCUGUCUUUUGUUGUGAUAUUCCAGUGUCCAAAUGAUUUCAGAAAAAUAGCUAAUUAAAUAUCCACACUGGCUGGUAAUAAACAGAAGAGCUAAAUUCCUGCCUGGAGAGAAAUACCAUGUGUUGCAUGUCUGACUUCACUGCACUAAGGAGCUGAAUCCUGCAGAGAUGGAGGAACUCUUUGUACGCACAUGUAGAUUUCAUAUGUAAAUUAAAGUGAUGAACAUUUUCCAAAGAAGGGGAAGGCAUCAGAAAACAUGAUUCACAAGUGCGGGAUACAUGACUACCUCCAGAGGUGGUCAGGCAGACAACGAUGAGAGAAGCUAUGGAAUUUUCAUGCUUGGAGAUACUUAAACCUGCCAGAAGAUGGCCCUGAGGUACACAGCUGCAUGCAUGAUUGGGACUGGAAGAUCUCCAGAGGUUCUGACCAGCUUCCGCCACUUUGUGAUACUGCAGUGCUAUGGUGACAAGUGUUGGCCUGAAUCUUGGCUGUGGAGAAACUUUCUGAAGAGGUCCACCAACUUAAAAAGAAUUUAUCUUCCUCACCACCUGUACAAACCAGUGUCUCAGCUAUCAGGGGAAAUCAUAGACAUGAUAACGGAGUGACACUGGAGAUAUUUGCUAAUUUUUUUUCAAUGACUGACAAAGGCUGAGACUUUUUAAAUACUGUUAAUUGGUAGGGAUCAACUAAAUCAUCUGAGCAGUUCUGAAAAUAUCAACCAGAAUUCCUGCAUUUUGCCUUUAACACAAAACUGAACUUCCCAUUGCACCUCCUACAUCUUGUGCAGCUACCCUACUGCAGAACUGCAAGAUUCUUAGGAAGUGUUUCUGAUCUAUAACAUGCUCAUAGCUAACCAUCAGGCAAACUAACUUGUGACCAGACACAUAACAUGUCAUUGCAACAGCUCUUUUUGUUUUCCUUAUACACAAAAUCUUUAUCAUCUGUAGGUCUCAGCCUUACUGCACCAGCCUGAUAGCAUGGAUGAGCUCAGAAAUUCUAGUUUCAGAAGGAACAUGCAGUAGUGUGCAUGUAAUGAUAAGAGAACGGGAGAAAUUCACUGUUACUGUCAAGGAGAAUUUCCACCAUUGGCAUUAACCAUGUAAUAUAGUGGCAGUGGAGUGCAAUGAAUGUGGAGAGAAGGGAGAGCAAUCAGCAAGCCUUCAUUCACUGAGAUGGAAGAGCUUGUCAAAGACACAAACAACUAAUCAGUUGCCAGCACUGAUUGAUGUUCCAGCCUGCAUUCAAAUCUAUCAUCGUGACCAAGUAUUGCCUAUCGUUUACUCAGUGGAUGGAUAAACUAGAAGUAAUAUAUGACAUCUAAGCAAAUAGAUCAUUAAUUCUGCUUAAUAUGUUGGGGCUAAAGUUUAAAUCUUUUUCUAAACAGCAAUCUUUCCCUUCAGGGAAGGGAAAAAAAAAAAAAAAAAAAAAAAAGAAAAGCAACAACAAAAACAGCAAUGAUCUACAGUGGUUCGCUAGGCAAAUAGUUUACUAUUAUUAUUAUUGUUUUUGUUAUUAUUAUUGUUUGUUUGUUUGUUUACAAGUUACAAAUUAGCUGCAUUGGAUAUUAUUUUUUUUUUCAGUCUAUAAAGAACAAUUUUCACUGAGUAUUAAAUCUAUCAGGAAAUGUAUUAACUUGUUAAUUAAUGUGGUUAAAGAGGAUAAGAAAUUAUAUGCUAGAAAAAGCAGAGGACUGCUGUUCUCCAUUUUAUUUUAUGCUUACAUUUUCUUCCAUUCUAGAGUGUUUCCAUGCUCAGCCUUCUGUAGCUUUACCCUUGACUUUUUAUUCUGUACUAUUACCCUUGACUUAGGGUUCUUUUUUCUGAUCAUGAGAUGAAAAUUUUAAAUGCAGACAUAGAGUUAAUUGGAUUUUAUUAUUGCUUGACUUCUUCUUAAUUGCAGGGCAUAGCAUGCAAUGAUUAAAAAGUGCCCUGCAGGGUGUUUAAAUUCCACAUUUUGCACCAAUCAGCGUCAAAGGCAGUGGAUUUUGGCACAUGCUUUUGCAAAGUGUUAGUUCAGGUCAUAAUUAUGGGGAAUAUAAUGAUCUUCAUUGAGGUAAAUUUUAACUGGUUUAGGACUGGACAGGAGGAAUUAAGUAGUCUGCAGUCCAAACUGAGUCCUGAUUUCUUAUUUCAGUCAGCCAUCAGUCAGAGAAAGAUGCAGGAGUUAGUAAUUAAGAAGUAUUGUCAGAAUGUUCUACUUCUGCUGUAACAAAACAGAAACCACAGUUUCUGAAUUGGAAACACACAGGGAUAUGAUUCCUAGUUUUUUGCAGUAUAUUAAAAUAUGUUCUGGUUUGUUUCAAACACUGCCGUUAGCCUCUCAUCAGUAAGAUACUGUUAAUAAAUCAUUAAUGGUUUCAUUUAUGAUUUGUAUCUUAUGGGAUCAUAAAUAAUUAAUAACAGUCAAAUACAAUAAGCAUAAAUAUUUAUAGAUUCAAUUUUGCUUAAUAUACUUCAUUUUUAAGAUUUUAAGAGAUCAAGUGUACUAUUAAUGUAUUUGAAUAAAGUACAUGUCUACUAAAUCUAUUAACUAAGUAGUAUGUUUAAUGAUGUUAAGGCUGAGAAAGAAUUUCUUUCUUUCUUUCUUUCUUUCUUUCUUUCUUUCUUUCU
This is a non-coding RNA of Anas platyrhynchos (mallard), 2638 nucleotides long. NCBI's taxonomy places the organism in Eukaryota, Metazoa, Chordata, Aves, Anseriformes, Anatidae. The record is from RefSeq and is a predicted model, not a curated record.